AUCCAGUUGACGAGUCCGAAAUAAGAUGAAACGUGCGUCGUGGAU
This 45-nucleotide non-coding RNA is filed under the name Schistosoma haematobium. Lineage: Eukaryota; Metazoa; Platyhelminthes; Trematoda; Strigeidida; Schistosomatidae. The record is from RNAcentral.